CAGUAGCCGCGGUAAUACGGAGGGUGCAAGCGUUAUCCGGAAUUAUUGGGCGUAAAGCGCGCGUAGGCGGUUUCUUAAGUCUGAUGUGAAAGCCCACGGCUCAACCGUGGAGGGUCAUUGGAAACUGGGAAACUUGAGUGCAGAAGAGGAAAGUGGAAUUCCAUGUGUAGCGGUGAAAUGCGCAGAGAUAUGGAGGAACACCAGUGGCGAAGGCGACUUUCUGGUCUGUAACUGACGCUGAUGUGCGAAAGCGUGGGGAUCAAACAGGAUUAGAUACCCCCGUAGUCCCUGUCUCUUAUAC
RNAcentral lists this ribosomal RNA (301 nucleotides) under uncultured bacterium. Its description in RNAcentral is "partial 16S ribosomal RNA". It matches the Rfam family "Bacterial small subunit ribosomal RNA", at positions 509 to 807 of the family's 1533-position model. The record is from RNAcentral.